AGAAAGUCCUCAUGUCAAAAGCUGCGGUUCUUUUCAUCAGCCUGAACCCGAACCUGUCGUUAUGGAUAACUCAGGUUUUUGUCAUCAACUAUAUCAUCUUUUUUACUGUUUUGAAACUCUUAAGAUUAAACUUCAGUAAAGUUGUUUCAGUUAUCCAUGUAAUCAGGCCAAGGAUAUUUAGCAGCUUAUUUAGGCAACUGCCAGAAUUGAGUUUGUUUGCUCGAAACUUGUAUGGUGACAAGGAUACUGGCAAGGAUAGUGAGAUAGUUUUUUGUGUGAGUGAAAUUUGAAAGCUUGGGUGUUCUGGGAUUUGCAAUUGCAAUCAUCCUCUGAGUCAGGUGAUUUCUUCUCCUGCUCUGUCUUGAUUUUCUCUCUAAUUGAAAGCAUAAAGUAUUUCAAUCAAAUUCUGUACCAGGAGUACAUAAAAGUUACUAAUAUUUUAUUUCCAUCUGUUUGCAUUGAUAACUCGGCAUAUGUUCUAGUUAAAGAACAAACAGAAACAGAGUUCAGGAAAAAGUUUCUUCGGCCACCAUAUUUGAAAAUGAAACCAUUUCCAGGAAGCAGUUGGCAGCAAAUUCAUAUGGAGUGUAGACAAUGAUGAGCAAAAAGGUGAUUCGCAAUUUCUUUUUUUUUUUAAGUGAAAUUAUUUGUUAGAUUGAAGCUGAUAUUGUAAGAAGGCCAUUGAGCUAACCUAUGUCGCCACUUGCCUAGAUUGCAGGGGGUCAAGACUCAAAAGAAGCACUGAAAUUUAAAAAGCAUGGAAUAGUUCUUUUGCCAUGUGUCAAUUAAUGCAAGUUUGAAUAAGUUUAUUGGCUGAACGAUGUUAGCUUCUUUUCCUUUCGUGCACUUUGGUAUGCUAUCAAGUGACAGCCGUAUGUAUGGCUUGCAUAUAGCUGCUGCUGGGAAAAUUGACGAUUUCAUGGCUGGCCGUGUUAUUGUCUUAAAUUAGUUGUGAUAAGCUGUUGCUUGGAGAUUCUGUUGCCAAGACUUUGCUCACAUCAGAAGCUGUGGAAUCUGAACCCUUCGUUAUGUAUCAUCUUUUUCAUUGUUUUAAAACUCUCAGGAUUAAACUUGAGCGAAUUUGUUCGGUUGUCUAUAUAAUCAUGUAUUGAGUAAACUCUCAGGAUACUGAGGGUGAGAGAAAUUAGAGGGUGUAUAGGGAUUUGGAUUUGUUAGGAAGUUAUCAUUUUUAUUUUUAUUUUUAUUUUUUUCCCAGAAAAUCUUCUGGUGGUGCUAUAUUUUCAAACGACAGUCCGAUUCAAAACUUGAUAUUCCAAUUAUAUUCAUAAGCUUCUAUAGUUAUCUUCAAAAAGACAAAUGGAAGGCUUUGAACGGCUUGGGUCUGAGUAUUGUAGUUUGAUUUAUUUUGAUGAAAGUACCUUUUGACAUUGAGAUU
RNAcentral lists this long non-coding RNA (1396 nucleotides) under Citrus maxima (pomelo). Its description in RNAcentral is "long non-coding RNA (CMAX_LNC001172)". The record is from RNAcentral. Lineage: Eukaryota; Viridiplantae; Streptophyta; Magnoliopsida; Sapindales; Rutaceae.